GCUGAGUUAGCUUAAUUGGUAAAGCAGUCGUUUUGUAAUCGACCGAUUAGGGUUCGAUUCCCUAACUUAGUA
This 72-nucleotide transfer RNA is filed under the name Magnusiomyces magnusii. RNAcentral's name for it is "tRNA-Thr". It matches the Rfam family "tRNA". Rfam says of the family: Transfer RNA (tRNA) molecules are approximately 80 nucleotides in length. Their secondary structure includes four short double-helical elements and three loops (D, anti-codon, and T loops). Further hydrogen bonds mediate the characteristic L-shaped molecular structure. tRNAs have two regions of fundamental functional importance: the anti-codon, which is responsible for specific mRNA codon recognition, and the 3' end, to which the tRNAs corresponding amino acid is attached (by aminoacyl-tRNA synthetases). tRNAs cope with the degeneracy of the genetic code in two manners: having more than one tRNA (with a specific anti-codon) for a particular amino acid; and 'wobble' base-pairing, i.e. permitting non-standard base-pairing at the 3rd anti-codon position. The record is from RNAcentral. RNAcentral also lists the same sequence under 1 other name. Lineage: Eukaryota; Fungi; Ascomycota; Dipodascomycetes; Dipodascales; Dipodascaceae.